Molecule: ribosomal RNA, 497 nt
Filed under: uncultured bacterium
Lineage: Bacteria
Description: partial 16S ribosomal RNA
Rfam family: Bacterial small subunit ribosomal RNA
Source: RNAcentral
GAUGAACGCUGGCGGCGUGCCUAAUACAUGCAAGUCGAGCGAACAGACGAGGAGCUUGCUCCUCUGACGUUAGCGGCGGACGGGUGAGUAACACGUGGAUAACCUACCUAUAAGACUGGGAUAACUUCGGGAAACCGGAGCUAAUACCGGAUAAUAUAUUGAACCGCAUGGUUCAAUAGUGAAAGACGGUUUUGCUGUCACUUAUGGAUGGAUCCGCGCCGCAUUAGCUAGUUGGUAAGGUAAUGGCUUACCAAGGCGACGAUGCGUAGCCGACCUGAGAGGGUGAUCGGCCACACUGGAACUGAGACACGGUCCAGACUCCUACGGGAGGCAGCAGUAGGGAAUCUUCCGCAAUGGGCGAAAGCCUGACGGAGCAACGCCGCGUGAGUGAUGAAGGUCUUCGGAUCGUAAAACUCUGUUAUUAGGGAAGAACAAAUGUGUAAGUAACUAUGCACGUCUUGACGGUACCUAAUCAGAAAGCCACGGCUAACUACGUG